ACGAACGCUGGCGGCGUGCUUAACACAUGCAAGUCGAACGGAAAGGCCCCUUUGGGGGUACUCGAGUGGCGAACGGGUGAGUAACACGUGAGUAACCUGCCCUUGACUUCGGGAUAACUUCAGGAAACUGGGGCUAAUACCGGAUAGGAAUCCUUGCUGCAUGGUGGGGGUUGGAAAGCUUCGGCGGUUUUGGAUGGACUCGCGGCUCAUCAGCUUGUUGGUGGGGUAGUGGCUUACCAAGGCUUUGACGGGUAGCCGGCCUGAGAGGGCGACCGGCCACAUUGGGACUGAGAUACGGCCCAGACUCCUACGGGAGGCAGCAGUGGGGAAUAGUGAACAAUGGGCGGAAGCCUGAUGCAGCAACGCCGCGGGCGGGAUGACGGCCUUCGGGUUGUAAACCGCUUUCAGCAGGGGCGAAGCUUGUGGUGACGGUACCUGCAGAAGAAGCACCGGCUAACUACGUG
RNAcentral lists this ribosomal RNA (464 nucleotides) under uncultured bacterium. RNAcentral describes it as "partial 16S ribosomal RNA". It matches the Rfam family "Bacterial small subunit ribosomal RNA", at positions 29 to 507 of the family's 1533-position model. The record is from RNAcentral.